Papaver somniferum (opium poppy) is the source of this 1681-nucleotide RNA transcript. It is a transcript of the gene named acyl-coenzyme A thioesterase 13-like, with no coding region annotated. The transcript has 4 exons. Lineage: Eukaryota; Viridiplantae; Streptophyta; Magnoliopsida; Ranunculales; Papaveraceae. The record is from RefSeq and is a predicted model, not a curated record.
AAAAAAUAGUGAAACAUAGAUUGAUUCCCAAUGGCCUCACUAUCAAGAUUUUCUUCACUAAUUUCCUGCCCUGCUAGCAAUACAGAUGAAACUCAUUCAUGGAACUCAAAAGAGAACACAUACAACUUCUUGCACGGACGUGGAGCCUUCGGAAAACCAAACGAAGCUUCUGAGAGAAAGGGUUUGUUCUCUGAUAGAAUACUAGAUCUUCUAAAGGUCGAUCAAAUUGAACCUGGUCGUAUCAUUUGCAGUCUCACUGUCAACCCUCAUGUCACUAAUCCUUAUGGUACACUUCAUGGAGGUGCUGUUGCUGCUGUUGCAAAAUUGGUCGCAAUGGCUUGUGCUAGAACUGUUGUGGAUGAAGAUAAGGAAUUAUAUCUUGGGGAGUUGAAUAUGUCGUACCACUCGGCUUCUGCUGUAAAUGUGGAACUGGAAGUUGAUGGAUGCAUACUAAAGCGUGGCAGGAAUGUAACUACAGCGGCAGUUGAGUUUAGAGUGAAGGGAACAAAGAAAGUCGCUUAUACUGCUCGGGCUACCUUCUUUACCACUUCGGUUUCGAAAUUGUGAGAAGAUAUUGUAAUGUACAAAAAUGAAGAAAUCAUUCAGAGCAAGUCUAAUGGUGGAAUACAGAAAACGCAAAUAAAAAUAGCGUAAAACGCUAUUCAUAAUACCGCCAGGGAAACGCUAUUAAUAAUAGCGCUAGACUUUAGUCAACGGUCAAAACGCCAAUCUUAAUAGCACCAAACGCUAAUCUUAUUAGUGCCAAACGCUAUUGUUAAUAGCGCUAAGCGCUAAUCUUAUUAGCGCUUUUUCGUUCAUAUAUCCAGUAACACCGUCGACCCUUCUUCUUCUUCCCCUCACAGUUCAUCUUCUCUGAAAAAAAGAAGAAAAACAACCUAAAACCCACUUUCUUGAUUCUCAUAGCCCAACUCAAAUAAAUCAAAUUGCUUCAAAGGGUUUGUUCUAUGCUGUAUAAGGAAUCGAAUCAAACUUAAAUUUCUCAAUUUGAUUGAGAAUCCAAAGAGAGAUUGUGGAUAUGGAUGUGUUUAUGACCUUGAGUUCAAAAGAACCGGAUGCGAAACAUAUUUCUACAAGUAUAGACCCACUUGAUACACAACAUGAUAUCACGUUUAGAAGUAAUCUAGAAGACCUUGAGGAUUUAUAUGACCGUGUGGUGGUUCAUGAAAGUGCUAGUCAAGUUCUUCAAAAUUCCGGCCUUGCUAGAUAUUUUGAAAUUAGAAUUAAGAGAGCUGAUCAACAACUAGCUUAUGCAAUCAUAGAGAGGUGGUGGUAUAGUACCAAUUCGUUUCAUUUCCCAAACUUUGAAAUUGGUUUCACCCCUUUGGAUUUUGUUCACUUAAAUGGAGUUCCUAUUGGAAAUGGUCGUAGAAGAUUGGAACACGCCGCUACAAGUAAAUGGAAAAGUAGAGAAAACCAACAACUAGAGGAUACCUACUUUGGACCUUUGCAUGGGUAUGCAAAGUACAACAAGAACUCACAUGAAUUUCCUAUUAGUUGCCUCGCAAACUAUAUCAAGGACAAUCCAAUUAAUGAUGAAAAUUGGGAGAUUGUGACUCGAUACUUCUUAUUAUGGGUGAUUUCAAAAGUUUUAUUGGCACGUACCACUACAAGAGCAAGCAAAGGUUGGAUCGCUUCCUUGCGUGAUUUGAAUGCGAUUGAU